UGCUGGCUUCAGCAGCACAUAAACUGAAAUGGAACACUUCAGAGAUUAACAUGGCCCCCGUACAAGGAUGAUUUGUAAAUUUGUGAAACAUUUCAAAAACUU
This is a small nuclear RNA of Onychomys torridus (southern grasshopper mouse), 102 nucleotides long. Lineage: Eukaryota; Metazoa; Chordata; Mammalia; Rodentia; Cricetidae. The record is from RefSeq and is a predicted model, not a curated record.